GAUGAACGCUGGCGGCGUGCUUAACACAUGCAAGUCGAACGAGAAGUGAAGACGGAAACCUUCGGGCGGAAGGCUUUAUUUCGAGUGGCGGACGGGUGAGUAACGCGUGGGUAACCUGCCUCAUACAGGGGGAUAACAGUUGGAAACGACUGUUAAUACCGCAUAAGACCACAGCACCGCAUGGUGCGGGGGUAAAAACUCCGGUGGUAUGAGAUGGACCCGCGUUCGAUUAGCCAGUUGGCGGGGUAACGGCCCACCAAAGCGACGAUCGAUAGCCGAUCUGAGAGGAUGACCGGCCACAUUGGGACUGAGACACGGCCCAAACUCCUACGGGAGGCAGCAGUGGGGAAUAUUGCACAAUGGGGGAAACCCUGAUGCAGCGACGCCGCGUGAGUGAAGAAGUAUUUCGGUAUGUAAAGCUCUAUCAGCAGGGAAGAAAAUGACGGUACCGGAGUAAGAAGCCCCGGCUAACUACGU
This 477-nucleotide ribosomal RNA is filed under the name uncultured bacterium. RNAcentral describes it as "partial 16S ribosomal RNA". It matches the Rfam family "Bacterial small subunit ribosomal RNA", at positions 28 to 506 of the family's 1533-position model. The record is from RNAcentral.